Molecule: ribosomal RNA, 529 nt
Filed under: Thalassiosira minuscula
Lineage: Eukaryota; Bacillariophyta; Thalassiosirophyceae; Thalassiosirales; Thalassiosiraceae
Description: partial Bacterial large subunit ribosomal RNA
Rfam family: Bacterial large subunit ribosomal RNA
Source: RNAcentral
AUGCGCGGUAGAGGAGCGUUCCGUAAGCCGUUGAAGGUGGAUUGAGAAGUCUGCUGGAGGUAUCGGAAGUGCGAAUGCUGACAUGAGUAACGAUAAUGCGGGUGAAAAACCCGCACGCCGAAAGCCCAAGGUUUCCUUGCGCAACGUUAAUCGGCGCAGGGUGAGUCGGCCCCUAAGGCGAGGCAGAAAUGCGUAGCUGAUGGGAAACGGGUUAAUAUUCCCGUACUUCUUAUAACUGCGAUGGAGAGACGGAGAAGGCUAUGCCUACCGGGCGUUGGUUGUCCCGGGGAAAGGCUGUAGGCUGAGGUGUUAGGCAAAUCCGGCACCUUAAGGCUGAGAGUCGAGACCACUGGUCCUUUGUGACCGGGAAGUGGUUGAUGCCAUGCUUCCAGGAAAAUCUUCUAAGCUUCAGGUUAUAAGGAACCGUACCCCAAACCGACACAGGUGGUUGGGAUGAGUAUUCUAAGGCGCUUGAGAGAACUCGGGUGAAGGAACUAGGCAAAAUGGCACCGUAACUUCGGGAGAAGGU